UGUGUAGAGAGGAUGCUGGAGCCCGAAGGGGGUAGAUUGUGAAAUCCCACAUCGGUUGGAGAGCGAAUCGAAUGUUGUUUACAAAGUUGCAGGAAAUGAGGAUUCGAAUGUCUACUUCUACGACUACGAGUUCUAUGAUUCGACACGAGCUUAACAUACUUGUGCGAACUAGCUACAGAUUCUCUCUAAGGUAAAACCAUUAGUUGGCAGUUUGUUGUCGAUUGACCGGCACGUAUGUGCCUCUGCAGGGCCACUGGUUUCCGGUCACCGGGGUUGCCUGCAACCAUGGGGAGAAUCUGUUGGCUUCCUUGGAUGUUUAUGGGAGGGUAAUUGUAUGAGAUCAAAGAUGAGCUAGAAUUUAGAAUGAUAUAUAUGUGGGAAUAGAUUUCUGAAUAGCUCUGUUUGCUUCCUCUUAUCAACUUCAGAUCAUCAUUCAGUAUGAAAAUCGAUUGACAAAGAGAAAACAAGAGUUUCUUAUAUAUACUUCCAUCCAUUUUCUACCAGUAGUUGAUGAUAUGAAAGUUCAUGAUGAGUUCAACUAUGAGACAAACUCAGGCAAAGUUUUUAUUCAUAUGUACCAAGUGAUAUAGGUUAUCAUUAACAAGCAGAAGAAAAUGAAAACUCCUAACAAAAUCUAAACCAGCCUACUGUAUCUUCCAAGGACAAAAAAGCUUGAAAUAUGUUGAUAUGAUAUGCUUUCCUAGAAACUAAGUAAAAUAAAGAUUAAGUAUUUGCAUCCAAUUCUACUCUACCUUGUUUGAUAUGUACUCAAGAGCCAUAAAUCUAUCUAAUUUACGUGUUCUAUGUGGUUACCCGACGUUGACAGACAACUUCAGCAGAUAGUUUUUUGCUUAGAUUUGGACAUGGAUCGCCUCCGAAAAUGCUUGUUGGUACGGUUGCCAGGCAUCUCUGUCGACCAACACAUAGCUGGAAAAGACGGUAUAAAUUAGGAACUUAGUAUUGUAUUUUGAAGUGUUGAUCUUGUCGAUUACAGAUCAAUCAUCAAGACAAUAUUUGAAAAGGUUCCUUGCUGAAGAUUUCCACAAGCUCCACUUGGAGUUCCAAAGCUGACAAAUUUGAUAGCUGAAAUGAACUGCCUAGCUGCACAAUGCAGGGCGAUACUCGGAUGCCUCGGUACAAAUGCUUGUAAUUGAUCUCUUUACAAGAGUGAUCCCUGAAGGAUUCCCGCCCAUCUCCUCAAAAACCACAAUUAAAUUUCUUGAUGGCAUCAACCAAGAUCGAGGAACGUGGUACCUAAAUGAUUAACGUAUCAAAUAAAAUGCAGAAUUUAGUGUUCGUCCUA
Long non-coding RNA from Cucurbita pepo subsp. pepo (vegetable marrow), 1303 nucleotides. RefSeq lists it as uncharacterized. Lineage: Eukaryota; Viridiplantae; Streptophyta; Magnoliopsida; Cucurbitales; Cucurbitaceae. The record is from RefSeq and is a predicted model, not a curated record.